Molecule: ribosomal RNA, 253 nt
Filed under: uncultured archaeon
Lineage: Archaea
Description: partial 16S ribosomal RNA
Rfam family: Archaeal small subunit ribosomal RNA
Source: RNAcentral
UACCAGCACCCCGAGUGGUCAGGAUGAUUAUUUGGCCUAAAGCAUCCGUAGCCGGCCCCGUAAGUCUUCCGUUAAAUCCACCUGCUCAACAGUUGGGCUGCGGGAGAUACUGUGAGGCUAGGAGGCGGGAGAGGCGAGGGGUAUUCCUUGGGUAGGGGUAAAAUCCUCUGAUCCAUGGAGGACCACCAGUGGCGAAGGCGUCUCGCCAGAACGCGCUCGACGGUGAGGGAUGAAAGCUGGGGGAGCAAACCGG